RNAcentral lists this long non-coding RNA (10425 nucleotides) under Elaeis guineensis (African oil palm). RNAcentral describes it as "long non-coding RNA (EGUI_LNC039881)". Lineage: Eukaryota; Viridiplantae; Streptophyta; Magnoliopsida; Arecales; Arecaceae. The record is from RNAcentral.
AUUAUGAAGCAUUCUUUGAUUUUGGUGCAAGGUGAGGAGGGCGGCCAAGGGUGAUUGUGAUGCAAAUCGGAAAGGGAUGUUGUAGUUCUAAUUUCUAGGCUUACUAUCUGUCAAACUACUAAUUGUAGUUUUUCUUUGUAAAUUUUACUCAGAAAAAGAUGGAGGCUGUCAAGGUUAAUUACAUUCUAGCCCCAACAAUUUGGGCAUACAAAAACCAAAGUGAAAAUAAUAAUAGAGGAAAGGAGGCAAAAAAAAAAAAAAAACUUGGUUCAUUGGAGCAGAGUGGGCCCAUAUAUGUCACUUGUGGAUGUCGGUUCAUCAUAACCACAUGUUUGAUUCUUUUGUCUGGGGGGACCAUUUUCACCAAACUGGCUAUCGUUUUGGUUCACCCAUCUUUUACAUUAAAAAAGGAGGUAUAUACUAAAUUAUGUGGACCGAAGAAAAAUUUAAAAUGUGAGUUUUUUUUUUUCCUUUUGCAUGCUUUGUCUCAUUAGAUCUUGCCGUCGAUUGGACAAUUUUCAAUCAAAGAAAAUUUCAGAAUUUUGGAAUAUGACUGGUUUUCAAAAACAAUUUUACUCAUUCAUGUGGUAAUAAAAAUGGAAAUAGCUUGGUAAAUUUAUGUGGUUGAUUAUUUCCUUAUGUGGAAUCAGGAUUAAAAUAUGCGGGAGGACUUUUCCACAUUAAAAAAAUAAAAAAAAAAAAGUGUGGGAGGAGUGAGUUGGCAUCAUGACAUGAAGGGAGGGAGUUGAGAAUAUGAGGCAUCUACUCCUGUACAUUUCUUGCCAAAGAAAAGUUCACUGAUAGAGCAAGGAAAAGUUUAAUAGAUUGGGUGCAAAAAUCAGACUUGGAGCCAAUUUUCUCUUGCUGUGCAGUCUCUGUAUAACAGAGUUAUUUGUCAACAUAGUAUUUGGGAGGAAGUUGUUUAUAUCCAUUUUGACUGUUUGUAUUGGCUUAUAGAAAGGUGAGGUGAUUGAGGUUCUUCAUAAGGUGCGUGAAACAAACUAAUCAGAUGCAAAUGUUGGUGAUUUCAAAAAUGAAAUUAUUAGUUAUCUAGGAAAUUUGGCAGCAAUAUGGAACCUGUCUAAUAUGGGUUAAUUACAAACAAAAAUUUGGUGUUAACAAGGAAAAUGAGAAGAGAAGCAUUUUUUUUCAUCAUUUGCCCUGGAUUCUGUUUCAACCACAGUAAAUUUGCACCAAGAAGAGGACAUAAGUGCCAUUUUUCCUCUUGGUAUGCAUCAAGAUAAUAACUCUCUAACUCUGGCUCGAGCACCAGAUCACAUCAAAACUCUGUAAUUAAGCACCUUGGGCAUAAGUAGCAUGAGAGGGUGAACACUUGAGAAGUCAUGUUGCACAAAAUUAAGCGAUGAUGAUAAUAAAAGAAUUAAAAAAAGAGAUGAAGGUGACAGGUAGUUGAUAUUCUUUCUGGGUGCAAGUGAUAUUUGUUUCAGAAUAAUAGCAACUAUUAAUUGCUCACAUUUAAAUUAGGAGCUUGCCACCUCUUUUGAUAGGAUUAGAAACAACAUCAAGUAACAUGACUAAGUUUAUGCAGAUGAAGAAAUAACUUUUUGGUUACACAUUGUUCCAGUUGGGAAUCUUCCUGUUUUUUCCUUUAAGCGUCCACCGUUCUUCUUGGAAACUUACAGUAUUGGGCUGAAGAACUUUGACAUUAUUUAAGGUGCCAGGCUUUUCUGAUUCAUAGGAGAAUGCAAGCUAAGAGAUUGGCUGCUUCUGAAAGUUGUUUUAUUUGAUGAUAAUGCUUCUGAAAGUUGUUAGGAGGAUAAUUAUCACUAUUACAACCACUUCUGAAAUGUAAUGAGUGAUGAAGUCUUUGAAAUCUAUGAUGAUGUUGCAAGUCAACAGCUAGUAGAAAACACUCAGUAUCAAGUAUUAAAGAGCGCCUACUAGAAGCAGGAAAAAAACAAAAAAAAAAGGUUCUAGGUCGUAAUUUUGGUUUUCAGCUGAAGGAUGAUAUGCUUUUUUUUUUCCCAAGACCAUGAGCUUCAAUCAUGUAGAAAUUGUCACCAUCGUGGAUGGACCAUACGAAAGUUCUUCGGAGCGAAACCAUAUAUUUUCUUAUGACGUUUCCAAGAUGAGGAGUUGCUUGACAGAGAAUUCCUUAGACUUGUGCCUAAGGGUUUUUCUGUGGUCCUGGCUUUCCACCCUUCAUUUGAAAACUAAACGUAGUGUAAUUUUUUGCUUCUAGCAUAUGCCAUGUUGCCCGUUACUUGCAAUAAGUGCCUCUUGUAGCUCUAUUGUAAUUGUAACAUCAUUAUAGCCUGUUAAGUGGUCCAAGAGAAUGUCAGUUCACAUGCUCAAGAUCUAGUUGCAGGAAAAGGCAAUCAACUCUAUCCCAUUUACUCUUAUCCCAUUGAUUACAAGCAACCAAUCUCUUGAGUUUCCUACUGUUUCACUUCCAACUUUUUUGGUUGGCAGCUUGACAACAUUAGCUAUCCAAGAGAAGGAACAUAUGAUUCUUCGUUGCCAUCAUCUGAAGCUCAUCCCACAAACCCAAUCAGACUUCACAAGGUCUUGAUUUAUAAUCUUUGUGGAGUCCACUAUGAGAAUGCAAGGGGUCUUGAGAUUGAAACAGAUGCUUGUGCUAGUACUGUAGUGAGGAACUUGGUAACUAAACAUGUAAAUAUUUAAUGUUUGGAACAAACCUUGACAAGCCUACUUAUUCCAAAUAAGAAUAUCCUUCCAUUCCUUAUAAUGAUAUAAUUUUUAAGCCUCCCAAUAUUUCCUUAAGCAAGCUUGGAACUUCAAGGUAAACCGCGACCAGUGUAACGGGAAACCACAAACCCGGUGUUUACCUUGCAGCAUCCUGGAAAUUUUGCAUGAAAUUUUGUCCAUUCAGAAGGAUCACAUGAUCCUCAUGCAAUCUUGACUGUAGAUAAGUUGUUUUUUUUUUCCUCCUCAAUUGUUUUUACUCUCGGAUGAAUAUCAUUUACCCCAAGAAAGCAUGCCCCAUGCGUCAAGCUGGAUCUUCUCGGCAUUAUUUCUGGUCUUUGUAACUCUUUUAAUAACAAUUUUCUUUCUCUUCAACAUAUUUAAGAUCAUUUGCACCUGUGUCAUUUGGCCUUCUUGCCGGUGCAAGGUAGAGGAUCAUAGUCUAAUUGUUUUCCAGGGCUACACCUCAAGAGGUUUAAUCUGCACCGAGGUCUUGGGUAAAUGCGAGAAUAUUGACUUCCAUAAUUUCAUCUUUUUUUUUUUUGAACUUCCCAAUAACUCGGAUUAUGAGCUGAUAAACCUUUUCUUUCCCUUCUAUUGAGAGGUAGUUGUCCCUUUCUCCCAAGGUCGCUCGCUCACUCCCAGUGCCAACCAUUUCUAUAUACUUCUCAAAAUACCGAGGGAGAGCUUGGAGCUCAAUAUUGGAAGGGCGACCGCGGUAGAAAAUUUUUGAGUAAAGAAUGCAGCAGGAAUGAGAUUAUGGGGUGAUACACCUUCACGUGCCUUGGGCCAAAAAAUAAAUAAAUAAAUACAAAUAAAAUUGCUGAGCAAUUAGGGAUUACUGAAACAUCAAUAUGCCUCAAUACAGGGGCAAUAUGCCUUGAUACAGGCAAUACAAGCUCACUUAGCCCAAUAACCAAUGCUACCGUCGCCUACCUUCUUAGCUUAUGGCUGGUCGGUAUGCAUGAGAUCUUAACCUGUGAAUUAUUUGCAACUCAGAAUCUUCAUUCUUUCUUAUCAAACAUUAUAAGAGAUUCGGCUGUCUAUGCAAUGAAAAAUUCUGCUUGUUAUGCUUGCCAUGUAAUAUGGGGGAUCCUAUCACCUGUUCUUUGCUAAGAAAACAGGAUGUAUGUUCAUGAUUUUAUGGUGCUUUUGGUUCGCUAAUCAAGUAGAUAUUGACAUUUUAAAAGGACUUGAUUCCUUGGUCACUUGGAGGCCUUAAAAAAUUACAAGCAUGUUAGGUCAGUCUAGAUAUCUAAUACUGAAAUUACGCUCUUAUAAAAACCAAAAAGUUUGAGAUGAUGGCUGAUGACGAUGAUACGUCUAUUUGCUUUUUCCCCUACUUUUUUAAUGCCCCCAUGUUUUUCUAAGAAUGAUGACCUGGAUUCUAGUAACAUGGCUCCCGCUCGUGUUCUAGUUUCCGAAAGCUUUGUAUUGCAAUCCAAACAGAAAGCACCAGGCAAUCGUCACCAAUCAGGCAAUCUUCCACCAAGCAGAAGAACGUAUUUCUAUCUCUGCAAAGGUGGUUUCAUCAAGGAAAGGCAUUUGUAGAUCUUAAUACAGGAAACACUGGUGGUGUGGGUUCAAAAGUUUCCUUCAUUCAGCAUGCUCAUAGAUUACCGGUACCCGUAGGGAAGUCCUCCAUAGUCCACAUGAAUUAUUUUGAGCAAAUUCCUGGGUUAUUUGGUGGAUUUUCCUGCAUUGUAUUUCUAGGUUCCUCCAGAUAUUCAUCACUAUCUUGGAUUUUUAAUGGUCCUCAUAUCAGCUGCAGCAUGCUCCUGCCCUGAUCCACUAUAUAUUAUCAACUUGAUGCACCUUUUUCUCUGUCAAUGGUAAAAUGUGAACAACCAUUCUAGAUUUGCGGUGCCAAUCAUUCUUUCGAUUCUGCAGUACCAAAUAAGCACUGCGAUAUAACUGGCAUCUCCGCUACAGGCAGUGAAGUUAAGAUUUACCAAGAUGAUACAGAUGAUUCUUGUGGACUUAUUUCCUACAACUAAUACUUCUGGCUUUCACAAAGAUUUAUGAUGUAGGUCAGGUGAGAAUACGCUUGCGGAGAUGUAAAUAAUUCAUAACACAUUUCCAAUUAUCAUGUUAUGGGGCCGAGACUCUCGUGGAAUCCUCCAGUUUUGUGAUCAAUGAAGAAUUUCAAUCUGAAAAUAAAGCUUCCUCAACCACACAACGUAUGUCAAACCUACAUGGUGAAAAGAAUGAUGGUUCUUGACAUUGUAUCGGUGGACCAACAUUAUUUUUGUAGGUUGUUGCCAGAAGAGAGCUGUCUACAAUUUUGAUAACAUUAUAGAUCCUUGAAGCUAAUAAACAAAUAAAAUUUGAUAGCAACAAACUCUGAAGCCCGAGAAAAACUGUUUACAUACAAAACUGCAUAAGAUGUUACUAACAAUUUUAUCUCAUCUUCCCUCUAGCUACAGUUAAACAGUGUUCACAGAGGGGGUGCUAGUGGGGUGCAGAACCAUGAGGCAGUGAUGGUGGUGGAAGCCCCAUGUUGCCUCUUAGAGCCAUGCCAGAGACCCGAACAUCCAUCAUUCCAGGCUGCAAAUCAUCCACUCAAUGGCAUUAGCCAAGCAAAGACGAUUCAUUCCAAAACAUAGGCGGACAUAGAUCAGAUCAUAAGCAAUGCCAAAACAACUAAGCAAAUUUUUUUGUACAUCAUGGGCGAUGUAAAAAGUUCGAUGUGAAACAUACUGCUUUAUGUGAUUGAUCCACAUAGUCACCGCUUCCCAACGCACAUUUAAUAUCUGCAGUUUCACUUUUUUAUUUGAACAUUUUGAAUGACGAAAAUAUCCAUAUUCUUUGAAAAAAAUUAUAACAUUUUAUAUCUAUAUUAUAGCAUCCUACAUACAAAAAAUCAUAAUUUUGAAGUAGGAUAUCAUAAUUUUGAUGCAAAAUAAUUUUUUUAAAAAUAUAAAAAUAUUUUCGUCAUUCAAAAUUUUCAAACGAAAAAGUGAAACUGCAAACAUUAAAUGCAUAUUGAAAAAUAAUUAGACAAAAAUAUUCCUUCUAUUAUUAUGACAUCCUAAACCAUAUUGUGACAUCCUGUAUGUAAAAAGUCAUAAUUUGAUGCAAAAUAUCAUAAUAUACUACAGAAUAUCAUAAUUUUCUGGAUCAUAUUAUAACAUCCUAUGUGCAGGAAAUCAUAAUAUGUCACAGGAUGUCAUAAUUUUUUUUCAAAGAGUAGAAGUAUUUUCGUCAUUCAAAAUUUUUAAACGACAAAACGAAACUGCAGGUAUUAAAUGCACGUUAGAAAAUAGUGGCUAUAUGGACCAAUCAUCUAAAGCGAUGCGCUCCACGUCAGAUUUUCUACACCGCCCGCAGUGCACAAAGAAUUUCUCAAACAACUAAUAACUUGCUCAUUUCUACAAAUUCUAUUUACCAAAUCAUUUGGUACCUGAUAAGCAUUUAGUCCUGGCACUGGCCCUAUUUGCCCACCUUGUGGCCGGUUAGAUAUGGCACCAAGUGGAAGAUUUUGCAGUCCACCUGCAUUCGUUGCAUCCUGAAUAUUUGUGAUCCCAUUUGCAAAAACCCCAAUGGGAGGGAUAUUGCUGGUGGUAACAGGCCCUGAGCGCAUCUGAUUAAGGCCCAUCAUUUGUGCUUGUGGCAUUGGAGAGAGCAUCUGAUUUCCUGAGCCUUGCACCACCUGAAAUAGUAAUGACAGUAAUUAGUCUUUGUUGAAAUACAAAGUUUAUAAGAUAAUGAAAAUUUUCCAUUUUCAGAAAAAAUACAUAAACUCUCUUUAUCACAUGCAUACCAUCUAUUGACAAAUCAUUGCAUUGAUAAAUCUCACAAACUUGUAUAUACGUUUCUAUAACCAGUCAGACCCCUCCGAGUAUGGGAGAAGUUGGAAAUUUGUGACAGCAAUUUUAUGGAUAUGAUGAUCAAGGCAAGACAACAACAGAUGUGAAUUCAUGCAUCACCAAGGAGUUGCACUCGACCAUUACACACAUGGCCAAAAUGUAAAGCAGCAACAAAAGUGAAGAAAACAGGUCAGCAGAGGCUAAUAUCUAGCCCAAAUAUUAAAGAGAAUAAGAGUACAGGCCAAUGGUUUGUAGUUUUAUCAGUCGGAAACCAAAACUAAAAUGCUGUAAUUCCAUGUCAAACCAAUCCAAAAUAAGUCAUUUUCAGAGUUUUGGUCGACACUAACUCGUGAGGCCAGAAUAUUUUAUGUUGGCCAAAUGGAAAGACCAAAAGACUAUUUUGAGGCAUUAUCUUUCUUUAUCUCUUUCCUUUUCUGAGCCUGCUUUUACAUGAUAACCCUUUAGAAAUAAUUUUUCAAAAAAUCAUGCUUGAGUUUUACAAUUAGCAAUCAUACAGGUAUUUGGUUGUAAGAUUCCAGAAAUCAUGAACAUUUUGAAAUAUGUUUACCACCUUGCUGUUUUAAAUUGAUGGAAACUAAAAAGACCAUGUAAACCUUACAAUUCAAGAAAAAAGAAGGGAAAAAGUAAAUGGUGGCUUGCUCAAGAUUCACCGAAGUUCACACUAAUAUACCUUAAUUAAAUUCUGACAUCAAAUGAAUAAAGGGCUACAAACACCUGGAGAUGUUAACAGUUAGACAAUCAUCUAGACAAGGGCAUUUGGAUAGAUGGGUACCAUUGGAUUAGACAAAGGUGUGGGAAUGGAUAGAGCCAGGGACGAAGGCAGGGGCAUGGAGCCUGGCACUGAAGAGGAAUGGAUGCAAAUAUUCCAAGAGGUGGCAGCUGCAGAUGUGUAGGGCGAGGUCCAUGAGGAUGCUGAAGAAGCGGCAAAUGUGAUGGAGGCUGUAGCUGAGCCAGAUGUGGUGGAGGAAGUGGCAGUGAAACCAUUUGCUGUGAAAAUGUCAUAUGUUGCUGCUGUUGAGGUGGGACUUGCUGGGGAAUUUGCUGAAAAGCUUGUUGCCAUCCAGACGCCAAAAGAGAUGGAGGGGGACCUGGUGGAAGAGGUGGUGCGCCACCAGGAAGAAUACCUGGAAUAGACUGCCUCUGUUCUUGAUCUGACCCAUCAAGAGAUGGAACAGUUGGUGGCAUUGCAAUUCCAAUACCAGGAAUAGUUCCUUCAUUUCGUGACAACCCAACAGCAAAUGGUCCUGGAGUAGGUGGAGGCUCUGGUACUGGGAAACCACUUGCUAUACGACCAGCAAGGAGAUAGUUUUGAUCACCAUAUCCUAGAAAGUCAAACAUAAAGUUUUGUUUAAUGAUCUCCACAUAAAAAUAAGCUGUUGCUCAUAAAAUAAAAAGAGGUAGUGCAAUUUAUAAAGAAAGCUAGAAGUAUUUUAAGUACUGCUAAAUCAUAAAUAGAAUGGAACAUAGACUGCUCGUAAACAACAGUAACCUUGAUGACCAAUAACGUAUCUAUCACGACUAGCAUCUCCAGGCCUGUUUCUGCACCAAAACUUUGUUGUGUGAUCAUUGCGACCACUGCAGCAGCACACUUAUAAUCAGCACCAGAUAAACCAUAAUGCAGAUGGGAACAUUUAUAUAGCUAUUAAAAGCUACGAAACGAUUAUAUUUUACAAAUCAGACCAAAGAUACACAAGGAAACAGUUUAGUAUAAGAAAACAUCCACUUUAUUUUUUGCAUGCAUAUAGCAAAAGUAUUUUUCUGAUAACAAGCAAAAGAAUUUUUCCUGGAAGAAGGUCAAUUUUAGUGAAGAUAUAACAAUGAUGUUUCAACAGAAAGAAGAGAUAAUACAUGAUGAUAUCUGAAAAUAAAUAUAUAUACUAGAAAGAAGGUCAACUAUAUGCAACCAACAGUAGUUAUAAGCUCAAAUGAGGAUAGUCAUUUUAAAAUAAAGGAAAGAAGAUGUAGCAAGCAAAAAAAGGAUGUCAAUACACCUAGUGCUACACAGAUCAUGGCCUAUGAAAUUCAACUGGACAUAGUAAGAGAUUUUGACACAUGUUAAUUACAUACAUACCAUACCAUCAACAAGGAACCAGUAACAAGAAAAAGGUAUAUAUCAUGGGCCAACAAAUCCCACCAUAACAGUGAUUACAAUAAUUAUCACAACAAUCUUCAAGAUGAAAUGUCAGCACAACAGUUACACAUUUAUUUCACAUGCAACAACUGCUUGGUAAAGAAAUAUUACUGUAAUCAUUAUUAAUAAAAGUAAAAGUGCAGGGGAAAACUAUGUAAACACCAGAAAGAAGAGAUGGAAGGUAUAAAGUAUACAAAAUGCAUGAUAAUGAACACACAUGGUUCAACAUGCAAAUAACAAAAAGCAAAUGCAUGCUAUUUAUAACAGGAGCAAUCAAUAAUUAUGGAUCAUAAUAACACGAACAGGCAUCUCAAAGGCAAAAAUUAAACUGAAAAGUUGAUACGCAGCAGCAAAGCCAAUCAAAUUAACAAGAAUACCUGCAAAGUAAAUAGCCCAUGGGAUGCCAAGCUAGAUCCCAAACACUGUUAUCAUGUGCACUAGGUAUUUCAAUCUGAGGAGUUUCAUGCCUCCACAGCAACAAUCAUUAGUGGAAACAAGAGCCAACAGAAUGCAACAUCUAGACCAGCCAAAGAUAACAACAGAUAAUCAAGAAUUGCAAGAACUAAAGAAAUGUGGAACGUCAUAUAUGUAAGAAGAGCUUUUGCCUCCAACGAAUCAUGCAAAAAUCACUUGUCAUAUAAGCUGGACAAGUACAGGCUUGGCCAAAGGUAUAAGAAGCAAAGAAGAAGGAUCUCAUGAAGGAUGGGCUAUUGAGGAUUGCUUACCCAACAAGCCAAUGAAAGAUGGACCCAUCAAAACUCCCACUGACAAAGUACUCUUCAUGAAAUGGGUGCCAAGCCACAGCUAGCAGAAUAAAAUUCCAAACAGUAAGUGUAAGCUACUAUAUCAUUACACAAAAGAAAACAUAACACACUUUCAAGCCUCAUUGAUCUUCAAAAAUAAAAAACUACAACAUCAAAUUUUAUCAUUACUUCAUGAUUCAUAACGAACAACAAGGUUUUAAAUCCUAUGGGAUAGGGCUGUCUCAAUUUUCCCAUGGAACGGGAUGUGCCGUCGUCCCGUCUCAUCCCAACACUUGGGAAAGGGAUGUCCCAAGAUAUCCCGAUUGAGAUGCUGGGAUGCUGGCACGGCUACCCUGUCCCGACACGAGAUGGUAUUCCGUCCUGAUAUCCCACGAGAUGUCGUGCCGGGACCUAAAUUCUUAGUGAAUAAUAUGUUUCAUGCAGAUUGAGAUACAUUAUGUUUAAAUCCAUUAAUGAAACAAAAAAAAAAAAACUAAAACCACACAAAUAAAAAAAAUGAGGUGCUACCUAACCUUAGCCUUCUGGAUAAAAAGAAUGAAGAAGCAAUACUUCAUAGCACAAAUUGGUUUAUACACCCAAAACCAAAUUCGGCAAAACUAUUUUCUAGUAAUAUAACAUUCCAUGUACCAGCAAGCUUAAAUUUGUGGUUACUGCCUUCUUUAUUCUUUGCUUCUCAACUUCCGGUUUCGAGACCUCCAGAACGAAAGAAAAGUUCCCUAUGAUAUGUAUCGAUUUGCAACUCAAAAAAGAGAUUUUUGGAAAUUCCCAAUUGCAGUGCAAAGCCUGUUAAUAGAUCAAUUCCUUUCCAAUGUUUUGCAGUACAAUGAUGACAUAUUAUUACUGCAACAAGUCAUUACAAAGGUUUUUUUAUUUGUUUUAUAGACAAUAAAGAAAAGGUGCAUUGUUACACCACCAAUGUGAAUUUCAAAAUCCAAGUCAAAACAUGUUUGCAAACAAGUCUGUGAUUCUAUCCGUGCAUGUGGAAAGCUAGAAUUAUGAUAUUAUAACUAUCAAAAUAACAACAAAUAUAUUA